GUGGAUUAGAUACCCUGGUAGUCCACGCCGUAAACGUUGGGCGCUAGGUGUGGGUCCCAUUCCACGGGGUCCGUGCCGCAGCUAACGCAUUAAGCGCCCCGCCUGGGGAGUACGGCCGCAAGGCUAAAACUCAAAGGAAUUGACGGGGGCCCGCACAAGCGGCGGAGCAUGCGGAUUAAUUCGAUGCAACGCGAAGAACCUUACCAAGGCUUGACAUAUACCGGAAACGGCCAGAGAUGGUCGCCCCGCAAGGUCGGUAUACAGGUGGUGCACGGUCGUCGCCAGCU
RNAcentral lists this ribosomal RNA (287 nucleotides) under uncultured bacterium. Its description in RNAcentral is "partial 16S ribosomal RNA". It matches the Rfam family "Bacterial small subunit ribosomal RNA", at positions 773 to 1060 of the family's 1533-position model. The record is from RNAcentral.